RNAcentral lists this ribosomal RNA (1123 nucleotides) under uncultured bacterium. RNAcentral describes it as "bacterial SSU rRNA". It matches the Rfam family "Bacterial small subunit ribosomal RNA", at positions 47 to 1162 of the family's 1533-position model. The record is from RNAcentral.
AUUGAUUUUAUGCUUGCAUAAAUGAUUUUUGGAUUCGGAGCGAGUGGCGAACUGGUGAGUAACACGUGGGUAACCUGCCCCGAAGCGGGGGAUAACAUUUGGAAACAAGUGCUAAUACCGCAUAAUUAGUUGGAACCGCAUGGUUCCAACUUGAAAGAUGGCUCUGCUAUCACUUUGGGAUGGACCCGCGCCGUAUUAGUUAGUUGGUGAGAUAAAAGCCCACCAAGACGAUGAUACGUAGCCGACCUGAGAGGGUAAUCGGCCACAUUGGGACUGAGACACGGCCCAGACUCCUACGGGAGGCAGCAGUAGGGAAUCUUCCACAAUGGACGAAAGUCUGAUGGAGCAACGCCGCGUGAGUGAUGAAGGUUUUCGGAUCGUAAAACUCUGUUGUUAAAGAAGAACAAGUGUUAGAGUAACUGUUAACACUUUGACGGUAUUUAACCAGAAAGCCACGGCUAACUACGUGCCAGCAGCCGCGGUAAUACGUAGGUGGCAAGCGUUGUCCGGAUUUAUUGGGCGUAAAGCGAGCGCAGGCGGUUUUGUAAGUCUGCUGUGAAAGCCCUCAGCUCAACUGAGGAAGUGCAGUGGAAACUACAAAGCUUGAGUACAGAAGAGGAAAGUGGAACUCCAUGUGUAGCGGUGAAAUGCGUAGAUAUAUGGAAGAACACCAGUGGCGAAGGCGGCUUUCUGGUCUGUUACUGACGCUGAGGCUCGAAAGCAUGGGUAGCGAACAGGAUUAGAUACCCUGGUAGUCCAUGCCGUAAACGAUGAAUACUAGGUGUUGGAGGGUUUCCGCCCUUCAGUGCCGCAGCUAACGCAUUAAGUAUUCCGCCUGGGGAGUACGACCGCAAGGUUGAAACUCAAAGGAAUUGACGGGGGCCCGCACAAGUGGUGGAGCAUGUGGUUUAAUUCGAUGCUACGCGAAGAACCUUACCAGCUCUUGACAUCUUCUGCCAACCCAAGAGAUUGGGCAUUCCCUUCGGGGACAGAAUGACAGGUGGUGCAUGGUUGUCGUCAGCUCGUGUCGUGAGAUGUUGGGUUAAGUCCCGCAACGAGCGCAACCCUUAUUAUUAGUUGCCAGCAUUUAGUUGGGCACUCUAGUGAGACUGCCGGUGAUAAA